CCUACGGGAGGCAGCAGUAGGGAAUUGUUCGCAAUGGGCGCAAGCCUGACGACGCAACGCCGCGUGGAGGAUGAAGACCUUCGGGUCGUAAACUCCUUUCGACCGAGAUGAACACCCCGCCGCCGAACACGUGGCGGGGCUGACAGUAUCGGGAGAAGAAGCCCCGGCUAACUCCGUGCCAGCAGCCGCGGUAAUACGGGGGGGGCAAGCGUUGUUCGGAAUUACUGGGCGUAAAGGGUUCGUAGGUGGCCGUCUAAGUCAGACGUGAAAUCCCUCAGCUCAACUGGGGAACUGCGUCUGAGACUGGAUGGCUCGAGUGCAGGAGAGGAACGCGGAAUUCCAGGUGUAGCGGUGAAAUGCGUAGAUAUCUGGAGGAACACCGGUGGCGAAGGCGGCGUUCUGGACUGCUACUGACACUGAGGAACGAAAGCCAGGGGAGC
This 440-nucleotide ribosomal RNA is filed under the name uncultured bacterium. RNAcentral describes it as "bacterial SSU rRNA". It matches the Rfam family "Bacterial small subunit ribosomal RNA", at positions 338 to 769 of the family's 1533-position model. The record is from RNAcentral.